AACGCGUGAGAAUCUAGCUUCAGGUUCGGGACAACAGAGGGGAACCGCUGCUAAUACCGGAUGCGCCUAAGGGUAAAAGAUUAAUUGCCUGAAGAUGAGCUCGCGGCCGAUUAGCUAGUUGGUGGGGUUAUAGCCUACCAAGGCGACGAUCGGUAGCUGGUCUGAGAGGACGAUCAGCCACACUGGGACUGAGACACGGCCCAGACUCCUACGGGAGGCAGCAGUGGGGAAUUUUCCGCAAUGGGCGAAAGCCUGACGGAGCAAGACCGCGUGAGGGAGGAAGGCUCUUGGGUUGUAAACCUCUUUUAUCAGGGAAUAAUCAAUGAAGGUACCUGAGGAAUCAGCAUCGGCUAACUCCGUGCCAGCAGCCGCGGUAAUACGGAGGAUGCAAGCGUUAUCCGGAAUCAUUGGGCGUAAAGCGUCCGCAGGUGGAAGUUCAAGUCGAUUGUCAAAGGCAGUAGCUUAACUACUGACAGGCAGUGGAAACUGAAAGACUAGAGUGAGGUAGGGGUAGAGGGAAUUCCCGGUGUAGCGGUGAAAUGCGUAGAGAUCGGGAAGAACACCAGUGGCGAAAGCGCUCUGCUGGACCUUAACUGACACUGAGGGACGAAAGCUAGGGGAGCGAAUGGGAUUAGAUACCCC
Molecule: ribosomal RNA, 642 nt
Filed under: uncultured Plectonema sp.
Lineage: Bacteria; Bacillati; Cyanobacteriota; Cyanophyceae; Oscillatoriales; Microcoleaceae
Description: bacterial SSU rRNA
Rfam family: Bacterial small subunit ribosomal RNA
Source: RNAcentral